GUCGAGCGGAUGACGGGAGCUUGCUCCUUGAUUCAGCGGCGGACGGGUGAGUAAUGCCUAGGAAUCUGCCUGGUAGUGGGGGACAACGUUUCGAAAGGAACGCUAAUACCGCAUACGUCCUACGGGAGAAAGCAGGGGACCUUCGGGCCUUGCGCUAUCAGAUGAGCCUAGGUCGGAUUAGCUAGUAGGUGAGGUAAUGGCUCACCUAGGCGACGAUCCGUAACUGGUCUGAGAGGAUGAUCAGUCACACUGGAACUGAGACACGGUCCAGACUCCUACGGGAGGCAGCAGUGGGGAAUAUUGGACAAUGGGCGAAAGCCUGAUCCAGCCAUGCCGCGUGUGUGAAGAAGGUCUUCGGAUUGUAAAGCACUUUAAGUUGGGAGGAAGGGCAGUAAGCUAAUACCUUGCUGUUUU
This 414-nucleotide ribosomal RNA is filed under the name Pseudomonas mosselii. RNAcentral describes it as "bacterial SSU rRNA". It matches the Rfam family "Bacterial small subunit ribosomal RNA", at positions 61 to 471 of the family's 1533-position model. Lineage: Bacteria; Pseudomonadati; Pseudomonadota; Gammaproteobacteria; Pseudomonadales; Pseudomonadaceae. The record is from RNAcentral.